Molecule: ribosomal RNA, 189 nt
Filed under: uncultured bacterium
Lineage: Bacteria
Description: partial 16S ribosomal RNA
Rfam family: Bacterial small subunit ribosomal RNA
Source: RNAcentral
CCUACGGGAGGCAGCAGUGAGGAAUAUUGGACAAUGGAGGCAACUCUGAUCCAGCCAUGCCGCGUGCAGGAAGACUGCCCUAUGGGUUGUAAACUGCUUUUAUACAGGAAGAAUAAUGAGUACGUGUACUCAGAUGACGGUACUGUAAGAAUAAGCAUCGGCUAACUCCGUGCCAGCAGCCGCGGUAAU